Molecule: long non-coding RNA, 3364 nt
Organism: Callithrix jacchus (white-tufted-ear marmoset)
Lineage: Eukaryota; Metazoa; Chordata; Mammalia; Primates; Cebidae
Source: Ensembl
GAAGCUUGCGUUUUGAUCGGCUUCAGAUGCUCUCUCCCCAGACCUUGGUGUUUUCCCUUUAGGAAGUCAGGAGGAAUAGGCUUUAAGCUCCUGGCGCCAAGACCCUUAUUCUGCCUCACGUGGACGCAGACCAGCCAGGAGCACCGCAAGGACCCAGGUGGCCCCGCGCCCCGCGUUGGGCGGGGACGAAGACCUGGCCUCCCUGGAGCGCGAGCGCCCUGGCGCACUGGCGGGCCGCAGGAAGCUGCUGGAGAUCCAGAGCCUGUUGGACGCCAUCAAGAGCGAGGGAGGCGACGGAGCGCGUGGCCCGGCUGUGCGCCAAGGCUGAGAGGAAGGCUGCGGAGGCGGCGCGGAUGGGCAGGAGGAUGGUGGAGCUGCAGCAGCGAGCGGAUCACAGGCUUCGGCUUCGGGUGUUCCAGUCGCCUGCUGAAAGGGUGCUGGGAUCUGUGUGAUUUCCCGUGCUGCGACCCACUGUGCUGGCUCAAACCAUGUUGCUGCCCGGGAAUCUCCUGGCCUGGCUUUCUGUUUAAUCAGAUGAAUGUGCUACUCUGCCUUCCGAAAUCUCCAAUUGCCGGUUUAACACGGCAACCAAACCAGUGUAUUUUGUAUAGAGUGUCGCUGCACUGCGGCCUUGGCCCAAACAGCCGUGCCGGCCCAAACUGCCGCGCUGGCAGCCCGUGGGGCUCUUGCACCUGGGAAUCUCCUCAUCUGUGGACAACAAAGAUCCGUAUGAAAAUGCGGCGUGCACUCCUUCUCUGUGGAUUCACUGGGAGCUGCAAUCCUGAGUUGGUCCUACAGCGCCAUGUUCCCUCUUCUCCUCCAAAACCUAUAUAUUAUAUAUAUUUAUCCAAAUGAACUAAAAGCCUUAAAUGUCACCAGGAAAAAGAGAAUGAAACCCGUUUCUGAAGAUGGCAGUGUCUGCCUCAUCGUCAUCAAAUGCAGUAAACUGCAGGUUGUAACACAUCGUGUGAAGCUGCAAUUGGAAGGACAGGAAAUCCCCAGGCAUGGAAGUGAGGAGGAGUGAGAGAGAAGCAGGCACACUUCCAGCCCUAGGUACCUGUGUUCAAAAGCAUUGGCUAUGCAAUGCACCCCAGACCCUGGAGGAGGAAUAUAGACAUGAGACCUGGUAGUGAAGACAAAAGAAUUCAGAGAUGGUGUGCCAGGUCCACAUGUGCAGGCAGUAACUCUACUCAGGGGCAUCUCACAUACCAGGUAUUGUUCUGAAAUAGAACAGUGUUAACUGCGCUGACGAAGCUUACAUUUUGGAGCAGGGAACGUUCAGAAAACAUAUCAGUAUCUCCUGUGGUGAUGUGUUUGGUGGGUAACAAAAUGCGCUGUGCUGCUGGUAGACGUAAGAUGGAGAAUGAUGGUGGAGUGAGGAUGCAGUGGUCCACUGCCGACUGACUGACUUUGUAAUGUUUCACAAGUCUCUUCACCUCACUUUACCCCCUCUGUAAAAUGGGUAUACUUAAGAGUACUACCUCAUAGGGAUAUCGUGAAAAUAAAUGAGUUGAUACUAUGUCAAAUGAGCUGAAUUUGGCCCAAGGGGUGGGCCGCAGUUGGCUGAUCCCUGGGUGGCCUCUGCUGAAACAAAGCAUUCUCUGAAAUGUCAUACAGUUAGCAGGAGGGUUAUUAGUGACUGCUCUUGGGAUCCACCCUGCCAGAGGGAAGGAAAAGAAGCAGGAUGGGGCGAGGGAGAAGUUGAGCUGUGGUGAAGGCUCAGCAGAAGCCUUACCCAACCCUCUAGGAGGUUCUGAAGACAGCGUGACAGGCACCCUCUAAGAUGGCCCUCAGCAAUCCCUGCCACCUGGCAUUGAGGCCUUUGUAGAAUCUCCGUUUGGAGCAUGGGCCAGAGUUAUGGACUUGCUUCUAGUGGACAGAAUUCUGCAGAAGCGAUGGGAUGUCGUGGCUUCUACUGUGCACACCCUUUCGCCCUCUCACCAUUGUGAGCAGACACCAUGUUGUGAAGGAACCCGGUGUAAAGGUUCUGCCAUUUGGGACCAAGGCCUGACAACAGUCACAGGCUUGAUCUUGGAAGCAGAUCUCCCCUUCACAGACCUCAGCUGCAAGGCUUGGCGAGGAGACCUGGGAGCCAGGUGCCACCCCAGUUGAGCUUUUCAGACUACGGUAGCCCAGCCAACAUCUUGAUUGCAACCUUGAGAGACCUUGAGUCAGAGGCACUCGGCCAAGCCCUGCACAGCUCCCUGACCCAUGGAAACUGUGAGUAAUAAAUGUUUGUUUUAAGCUUUUAAGUCUUGCGAAAAUUUGUUAUGCAGCAAUGGAUAACUAGGACAGUGUGAUGGCCCUUCAGAACUCUCCCCACGUUGGAGUGAGAGCACUGGGCUUUCUGUCUCUGCGGGGAUCAAUCACCAAAUGCGGCUGCCCGGGGAAGGACGCGGUGACAAUCUCUGAAGACCGCUGCUGGCUUGGAGCCAUCUCAGCAGCUGGAAUAAGACCCUCAUUCCUGAAGGGCAAUCUGGGUCAUGCGUCCACUGCAGCUGCAACGUUCUGAGACUCUAGACUGUCCCCUGCUCACGUUCACCACGGUUUGGAGAUGACUUUAGGGCCAAGGCGGGCUUGAACGCUGCUAUGCGAGGGUUGCCUGCUUAUUCUUUUUCAUGUUUGGCAUCUCAAGAUUCCAUAAUUUUUUCUUCCAGCUCAGCAGUGCAUCUAAACAGAUCUUUACCUUAAAAUUGUAAUCAUUACUAGCGUAGUUUUCAAGGGGAGAGUCUUUUUUAUCUCCAGGGAACAGAAUAUCAGUUGAAUUAAUGGUCUGCUGAACUGCCCACAGUGGAAAUGAGCAGAAUCUUGGAAAACAGGCCCUGAACUCUGAGGUCCUGUUUUAUUCUAAAGUGCAGCCUCUUCAUGGAGAGAGAACCCCGGAUCUCGGCUCUUUAACGCUUGCCUCUUUCCAUCCCCGGGCUGGCUGGGAACCGGGCUGCGGCUGCUCAGACUCGGAGGGGUGGGUGUGGGCGCCCAGGCGGGGCGGGGAUCUCGGAAAGCAGCCGAGCGUGAGACGGUCGCUAGGCACCGGGCCUCACGGUGCUGUCUGUCCCCAGCCCCGCGCCUUCCUGAGCCGGCCCGGGCUCCCUCCUGGCGGACCCUGGGCCUGGAGCAAGAGGGUGCGCACCUGCGGGAGGGGAGGCGGGCACCGGGCCGCGAGGCGGGUGCGCCCGGGACCCUGGGUUCCGGGUCUUGCGCGCCGCGCUCGCCCAGAGCCGGGUGGGGCCCUGAAGCCAUAGGGGGGAUCGCGCCCUGUCGCCUCCUGAGGGCGCGCGCCUGGUGACAGGGGGCCCUGACCUGGUAAAGCCAGGGCUCGGGGAGCUCUGCCGCCUCCUGGCUCCCAGGUCUCUGCGGGCCUCCC